RNAcentral lists this ribosomal RNA (801 nucleotides) under uncultured archaeon. RNAcentral's name for it is "bacterial SSU rRNA". It matches the Rfam family "Archaeal small subunit ribosomal RNA", at positions 58 to 847 of the family's 1478-position model. The record is from RNAcentral.
UUGAAUGGGAAACCUAAAGUUCCCAUGGCAAACUGCUCAGUAACACAUGAUCAACUUAACCUAUAGAGAAAAAUAACCUCGGGAAACUGAGGAUAAUGUUUCAUAGUUGAAUUGGCUUGGAAAAGUUUUUCGAUAAAAGGGGUAAAAAAAAUGGUUUUUAUCUGCUAUAGGAUAGGAUCGUGUUCGAUUAUGGUUGUUGGUGAGGUAAUGGCUCACCAAGCCGAUAAUCGAUAGGGGCCGUGAGAGCGGGAGCCCCGAGAUGGGUACUGAGACAACGACCCAGGCCUUACGAGGCGCAGCAGGCGCGAAACCUCCGCAAUACACGAAAGUGUGACGGGGUUACCCAAAGUGUUCAUUAGAACUGUGGUAGGUGGGUAAUGUUCCCUACUAGAAAGGAGAGGGCAAGGCUGGUGCCAGCCGCCGCGGUAAAACCAGCUCUUCAAGUGGUCGGGAUAAUUAUUGGGCUUAAAGUGUCCGUAGCCGGUUUAGUAAGUUCCUGGUAAAAUCGGGUAGCUUAACUAUCUAUAUGCUAGGAAUACUACUAUACUAGAGGGCGGGAGAGGUCUGAGGUACUACAGGGGUAGGGGUGAAAUCUUAUAAUCCUUAUUGGACCACCAGUGGCGAAGGCGUCAGACUGGAACGCGCCUGACGGUGAGGGACGAAAGCCAGGGGAGCGAACCGGAUUAGAUACCCGGGUAGUCCUGGCCGUAACGAUGCAUACUAGGUGAUGGCACGGCCAUGAGCCGUGUCAGUGCCGUAGGGAAACCGUUAAGUGUGCCGCCUGGGAAGUACGGUCGCAAG